UACAGAGGGGGCAAGCGUUGUUCGGAAUUACUGGGCGUAAAGGGCUCGUAGGUGGCCAACUAAGUCAGACGUGAAAUCCCUAGGCUUAACCGGGGAACUGCGUCUGAUACUGGAUGGCUUGAGUUUGGGAGAGGGAUGCGGAAUUCCAGGUGUAGCGGUGAAAUGCGUAGAUAUCUGGAGGAACACCGGUGGCGAAGGCGGCAGCCUGGACCAACACUGACACUGAGGAGCGAAAGCCAGGGGAGCAAACGGG
Molecule: ribosomal RNA, 253 nt
Filed under: uncultured bacterium
Lineage: Bacteria
Description: partial 16S ribosomal RNA
Rfam family: Bacterial small subunit ribosomal RNA
Source: RNAcentral